This 158-nucleotide ribosomal RNA is filed under the name Histoplasma capsulatum. RNAcentral's name for it is "5.8S ribosomal RNA". It matches the Rfam family "5.8S ribosomal RNA". From Rfam's summary of the family: 5.8S ribosomal RNA (5.8S rRNA) is a component of the large subunit of the eukaryotic ribosome. It is transcribed by RNA polymerase I as part of the 45S precursor that also contains 18S and 28S rRNA. Functionally, it is thought that 5.8S rRNA may be involved in ribosome translocation. Lineage: Eukaryota; Fungi; Ascomycota; Eurotiomycetes; Onygenales; Ajellomycetaceae. RNAcentral also lists the same sequence under 1 other name. The record is from RNAcentral.
AAACUUUCAACAACGGAUCUCUUGGUUCCGACAUCGAUGAAGAACGCAGCGAAAUGCGAUAAGUAAUGUGAAUUGCAGAAUUCCGUGAAUCAUCGAAUCUUUGAACGCAUAUUGCGCCCCCUGGUAUUCCGGGGGGCAUGCCUGUCCGAGCGUCAUUG